RNAcentral lists this ribosomal RNA (476 nucleotides) under uncultured soil bacterium. RNAcentral's name for it is "bacterial SSU rRNA". It matches the Rfam family "Bacterial small subunit ribosomal RNA", at positions 27 to 499 of the family's 1533-position model. The record is from RNAcentral.
GGAUUGAACGCUGGCGGCAUGCCUUACACAUGCAAGUCGAACGGCAGCACGGGGGCAACCCUGGUGGCGAGUGGCGAACGGGUGAGUAAUAUAUCGGAACGUGCCCUGGAGUGGGGGAUAACGCAGCGAAAGUUGCGCUAAUACCGCAUACGAUCUCAGGAUGAAAGUGGGGGAUUCGCAAGAACCUCAUGCUCCUGGAGCGGCCGAUAUCUGAUUAGCUAGUUGGUAGGGUAAAGCCUACCAAGGCAUCGAUCAGUAGCUGGUCUGAGAGGACGACCAGCCACACUGGGACUGAGACACAGCCCAGACUCCUACGGGAGCAGCAGUGGGAAUUUUGGACAAUGGCGCAAGCCUGAUCAGCAAUGCCGCGUGAGUGAAGAAGGCCUGGUUGUAAAGCUCUUUGUCUAGGAAGAAACGGUCUUUACUAACUAUAGUAGGACUAAGUGACGGUACCUAGAACGAAUAAGCGACCGGAC